This 1416-nucleotide ribosomal RNA is filed under the name uncultured organism. Its description in RNAcentral is "bacterial SSU rRNA". It matches the Rfam family "Bacterial small subunit ribosomal RNA". The record is from RNAcentral.
UCAGAACGAACGCUGGCAGCGUGGAUUAGGCAUGCAAGUCGAACGGGAUUUCCGCUCGUAGCAAUACAGGUGGAAUGAGAGUGGCGGAAGGGCGAGUAAUGCAUGGGUAAGCUAUCCUUUAGUUGGGGACAACUCCGCGAAAGUGGAGCUAAUACCGAAUGCGGUACGGUGACGCGAGUCACCAGUAUUAAAGGUGGGGACCUUCGGGCCUGCCGCUUGAGGAAGUGCCCAUGUGCCAUCAGCUUGUUGGUGAGGUAACGGCUCACCAAGGCUACGACGGCUAGCUGGUCUGAGAGGACGACCAGCCGCACUGGGACUGAGAUACUGCCCAGACUCCUACGGGAGGCUGCAGUCGAGGAUCAUUCGCAAUGCGCGAAAGCGUGACGAUGCGACGCUGCGUGGAGGAUUGAAGGCCCUCGGGUCGUAAACUCCUGUCAUGAGGGAAAAGCAACGCGGGUGUGAAUAGCGCCUGCGCAGGAUGGUACCUCAAGAGGAAGCCACGGCUAACUCUGUGCCAGCAGCCGCGGUAAUACAGAGGUGGCAAGCGUUGUUCGGAUUUACUGGGCGUAAAGGGUGCGUAGGCGGCGUGGUGUGUCGGAUGUGAAAUCCCAGGGCUCAACCCUGGAAGUGCAUCCGAAACUACCAUGCUAGAGUGCAGGAUGGGAGAGCGGAAUUCAUGGUGUAGCGGUGAUAUGCGCUGAUAUCAUGAAGAACACCGGUGGCGAAGGCGGCUCUCUGGAAUGCAACUGACGCUGAGGCACGAAAGCCGGGGGAGCAAACAGGAUUAGAUACCCUGGUAGUCCCGGCCCUAAACGGUGCGCACUUGGCGUGGGGAGAUUUGACCCUUCCCGUGCCGGAGCUAACGCGUUAAGUGCGCCGCCUGGGGAGUACGGCCGCAAGGUUAAAACUCAAAGAAAUUGACGGGGGCCCGCACAAGCGGAGGAGCAUGUGGCUUAAUUCGAUGCAACGCGAAGAACCUUACCUGGGCUAGACAUGCAGCUGCACGUCCCAUGAAAGUGGGAUUCCUUCGAGGGUGCUGCACAGGUGCUGCUUGGCUGUCGUCAGUUCGUGCCGUGAGGUGUUGGGUUAAGUCCCGCAACGAACGCAACCCCUAUGUUUAGUUACCAGCGGAUAAUGCCGGGGACUCUAGACAGACUGCCCGUACAAGCGGGAGGAAGGUGGGGAUGACGUCAAGUCAGUAUGGCCCUUACGUCCAGGGCUGCACACGUGCUACAAUGGUCGGUACAAUAGGAUGCAAAGCCGCGAGGUUGAGCAAAUCCCCAAAACCGGCCCCAGUUCGGAUUGGAGUCUGCAACUCGACUCCAUGAAGUUGGAUUCGCUAGUAACGGCGUAUCAGCUACGACGCCGUGAAUACGUUCCCGGGCAUUGUACACACCGCCCGUCACAUCAUGAAGC